This 315-nucleotide ribosomal RNA is filed under the name Triticum aestivum (bread wheat). RNAcentral's name for it is "partial small subunit ribosomal RNA". The record is from RNAcentral. Lineage: Eukaryota; Viridiplantae; Streptophyta; Magnoliopsida; Poales; Poaceae.
AUGGCUCUUUUGACGGCAGAGGUGACUUGGUUACGGUGGUUACUUCAGGACUUUGGUGUUUCUGUCACUACACCGACUAUGCUCUUAUCUGACAGUACAGGUGCUAUUAGCAUUGCGCGCGAUCCUGUGAAACAUGAGCUCACCAAGCAUAUUGGUGUUGAUGCUUUCUAUGUGCGCGCUGCUGUGCAGGAUCAGGUCGUUGCUCUUCAGUAUGUGCCUUCCGAGUUACAGUUGGCGGAUUUCCUGACGAAGGCCCAGACUAGAGCACAACAUGGCUUUCAUCUCUCCAAACUCAGUGUUGUUCCUCCACCAUGA